This 561-nucleotide ribosomal RNA is filed under the name Pseudomonas monteilii. RNAcentral's name for it is "bacterial SSU rRNA". It matches the Rfam family "Bacterial small subunit ribosomal RNA", at positions 90 to 647 of the family's 1533-position model. The record is from RNAcentral. Lineage: Bacteria; Pseudomonadati; Pseudomonadota; Gammaproteobacteria; Pseudomonadales; Pseudomonadaceae.
AUUCAGCGGCGGACGGGUGAGUAAUGCCUAGGAAUCUGCCUGGUAGUGGGGGACAACGUUUCGAAAGGAACGCUAAUACCGCAUACGUCCUACGGGAGAAAGCAGGGGACCUUCGGGCCUUGCGCUAUCAGAUGAGCCUAGGUCGGAUUAGCUAGUAGGUGAGGUAAUGGCUCACCUAGGCGACGAUCCGUAACUGGUCUGAGAGGAUGAUCAGUCACACUGGAACUGAGACACGGUCCAGACUCCUGCGGGAGGCAGCAGUGGGGAAUAUUGGACAAUGGGCGAAAGCCUGAUCCAGCCAUGCCGCGUGUGUGAAGAAGGUCUUCGGAUUGUAAAGCACUUUAAGUUGGGAGGAAGGGCAGUAAGCUAAUACCUUGCUGUUUUGACGUUACCGACAGAAUAAGCACCGGCUAACUCUGUGCCAGCAGCCGCGGUAAUACAGAGGGUGCAAGCGUUAAUCGGAAUUACUGGGCGUAAAGCGCGCGUAGGUGGUUCGUUAAGUUGGAUGUGAAAGCCCCGGGCUCAACCUGGGAACUGCAUCCAAAACUGGCGAGCUAGAGU